CCCGCACAAGCGGUGGAGCAUGUGGUUUAAUUCGACGCAACGCGAAGAACCUUACCAGGGCUUGACAUCCCCUGACCGCGUAUGAAAGUACGUUUUCACCCUCGGGUGACAGGGAGACAGGUGGUGCAUGGUUGUCGUCAGCUCGUGUCGUGAGAUGUUGGGUUAAGUCCCGCAACGAGCGCAACCCUUAUCCCCAGUUGCCAUCAGGUAAAGCUGGGAACUCUGGGGAGACUGCCGGUGAUAAACCGGAGGAAGGCGGGGAUGACGUCAAGUCCUCAUGGCCCUUACAUCCCGGGCUACACACGUGCUACAAUGGCAGGUACAGAGGGCUGCGAAGCCGCGAGGUGGAGCGAAUCCCAGAAAACCUGUCUCAGUCCGGAUUGAAGUCUGCAACUCGACUUCAUGAAGGCGGAAUCGCUAGUAACCGCGAAUCAGCAGGUCGCGGUGAAUACGUUCCCGGGCCUU
RNAcentral lists this ribosomal RNA (465 nucleotides) under uncultured Latescibacterota bacterium. RNAcentral's name for it is "bacterial SSU rRNA". It matches the Rfam family "Bacterial small subunit ribosomal RNA", at positions 920 to 1382 of the family's 1533-position model. The record is from RNAcentral. Lineage: Bacteria; Pseudomonadati; Candidatus Latescibacterota.